Molecule: ribosomal RNA, 484 nt
Filed under: uncultured bacterium
Lineage: Bacteria
Description: partial 16S ribosomal RNA
Rfam family: Bacterial small subunit ribosomal RNA
Source: RNAcentral
AUUGAACGCUGGCGGCAGGCCUAACACAUGCAAGUCGAGCGGAUGGAGGGAGCUUGCUCCUGGAUUCAGCGGCGGACGGGUGAGUAAUGCCUAGGAAUCUGCCUGGUAGUGGGGGAUAACGUCCGGAAACGGGCGCUAAUACCGCAUACGUCCUGAGGGAGAAAGUGGGGGACCUUCGGACCUCACGCUAUCAGAUGAGCCUAGGUCGGAUUAGCUAGUUGGUGGGGUAAAGGCCUACCAAGGCGACGAUCCGUAACUGGUCUGAGAGGAUGAUCAGUCACACUGGAACUGAGACACGGUCCAGACUCCUACGGGAGGCAGCAGUGGGGAAUAUUGGACAAUGGGCGAAAGCCUGAUCCAGCCAUGCCGCGUGUGUGAAGAAGGUCUUCGGAUUGUAAAGCACUUUAAGUUGGGAGGAAGGGCAGUAAGUUAAUACCUUGCUGUUUUGACGUUACCAACAGAAUAAGCACCGGCUAACUUCGUG